This 425-nucleotide ribosomal RNA is filed under the name uncultured bacterium. Its description in RNAcentral is "partial 16S ribosomal RNA". It matches the Rfam family "Bacterial small subunit ribosomal RNA", at positions 354 to 796 of the family's 1533-position model. The record is from RNAcentral.
GUAGGGAAUAUUGGACAAUGGGCGAAAGCCUGAUCCAGCAAUGCCGCGUGAGUGAUGAAGGCCUUAGGGUUGUAAAGCUCUUUUACCAGGGAUGAUAAUGACAGUACCUGGAGAAUAAGCUCCGGCUAACUCCGUGCCAGCAGCCGCGGUAAUACGGAGGGAGCUAGCGUUGUUCGGAAUUACUGGGCGUAAAGCGCGCGUAGGCGGCGAUUUAAGUCAGAGGUGAAAGCCCGGGGCUCAACCCCGGAAUAGCCUUUGAGACUGGAUUGCUAGAAUCCUGGAGAGGUGAGUGGAAUUCCGAGUGUAGAGGUGAAAUUCGUAGAUAUUCGGAAGAACACCAGUGGCGAAGGCGGCUCACUGGACAGGUAUUGACGCUGAGGUGCGAAAGCGUGGGGAGCAAACAGGAUUAGAAACCCUUGUAGUCC